AAGGCGGCCCAAGGCCGCUUGAUGAAAGGAGAUAAGCUGGGGACCGUUUCCAGGAUCCCCGCGGGCCGACCGGGGCAGCCCGGGAGCCGAGGUGCGGCGGAGAGCCCGCGGAUCAAAGGAAUCUGGAGAGAAAGGGGAAGCGGGCGGCCGGCCCCGGCCGGCCUUCCCCCCCGCAGGCCACGCCGACCUGGGGUGGGGGGCUGCGGGCCGCGGGCGGGGACUCCGGGAUUUCCCGCCUGCCUGAGUCGGGGCCUACGCCGGCGCCCGCUUCGGGCGGCUCGGCCCGGAGGGGAGCUCCGGAGAGCCCGGGGCUCGCAGGUAAGCACCGGCGCUCCGCGGGCCGGGCCGGGGACGCAGGACAAGGCGCGGGGCCCACCCCGGCUGGCUCGGGAGUGGCGGUCGCGCGGGCCCGGCUCCCGUCUCCGGCGUCUCCCGGCUCCGGCGGCCGGGACCCCCCGCGGCCGAGCCCCUGGCCAGGCCCCAGGCCGGCGCCUUCGGAAGCGACGUCUGGCGGGCCGCGGGGCACGAGGGGGAGAGCCGGGAAGCGUAAAUCCCCGAAGCGCGCGGAGAUCCGAUUAGCGCGCGGCUAUUCAUUAGGCUGGGGGCGAUUGAAUUAGGUCCCUGGGCGCGGUCGCCGGCUGGGGGUGUGUGGCGCCGACCCCCGGGCUCUUGCCGUGGCCUCGGGAGGCUGGAGCAGCGAGCAGCGGCCCCAGCGAGUGUGUCGGGGAAGCGGGUGCCUCCGGGUCCCGGCCCCGCGGGUGCAGGCGGAGGCUGCCCGCUUCCCGCGUACACCGAGGACGGCCGGCCCGGCUCCGGAGAAAUGGCGCUUGAGAAAGGAGGGGAGGGGAAGGUUCCCGGACCCUGGGCAGGGACCCGUCGCCGGGGACCCGCGGAGCCCUCCGGGGAUGGAGGAGGCGCGAGCUGGAAGCGGCGCGCGAGCCCGAGCGCGGGGCUAACACCGUGGGGCCCAGUCUCUCCUGGCUCGGGAAAAUACGUAUACGAGAAAAAUCUUGGAUGCAACAAAAAGAACACCGUGGCCACCCGUGGUGUCCCAGAAGUUGCUCUGAGCUCCUCGCAUCAGGGCAGGUGCUCCACCUCUAACCGCCCUGUGGGGGAACGGGAGGCCCCAAGCCCCUGGGAGUCCUGGUCUCCUCUAGAGUGUGUUGGAAGGACAGCCGCUGGAAAGGCCCCUCAGAGCCCCUAAACCAGCCUCCCCUCCCCCGUGGGCAGAUUGUUCGAGGGUCCUGGAGCCUGAAUGAUGGGCCCUCGGCUUGCCCACCCCCAUCCCCAGUCAUCAAUCACCAUUUGAGAAAUGCCCACUGCCAGGGACAUGGGAGGGCAGAGGGUAGCUCGCGGGUGCGUGGCCCCUAUCUCCUCAAGCUGGUUUAGACCCUUCUGGCUCAGCCUCACCAGAUUCCUAGGAUGAGCACUGGCUUCAAAUCCCCCAAGUGCUGGUCCCUUCGUGUCCCCGAAAGAGGCUGCUCGCGUGGGCAAAGGCCCCGAGGCGUCGAGUGCGCCUUCCAGGGCAGUGCGGAAGCUCCCUGCCCUCCUCCUUCCUCCCCACUUCUGCCUCCUCCUCCCCCAGUGUUCACUUGAAGCAAAUUCUAGUGGGCUUUUUUUUUUUCAAUACUGUUUCAAAACAGUUGUUACAGCAAAUAACUGCAGACGGGUCUGCUGGACGCGGUGGAGAGGGGCUGGCAGCUGCCCAGCACAGGCGCCUGGCCGCUGGGCAGCUCCCGCAAUACCAAAAUAAGCUCCCGAGUUCCCCUGGAAGACUUGGGCCGCCGGGAGCUCAGGCUGGCGAUCUGCUCAGAGGAAACCUCCCUACUUUCCUUUUUUACUCUUCCUGCUGUCCAGAGCUAACAAAUGUUUUUAAUUUCAGAGGAACAUGGUGUGGGGAUCUGCAGACUUGCCUUCCACUGGGGAGAGGGCCAGCGAGGGGACAGAGGGGGAGGAAAGGAGAGGGGAUAAUAGACCCGAGGUCAGUGUUGAUGCUGGAGGGCCCAGGUCUCUGAAGUUCCUGCAGCUUUGCAGGUGAGCGGGCUGCAAGUGAGGCUAGGCCUGUGGACACCCAGUGGGGCCUGGAACAGUGCCAGGAGUGGCCUUGAACCCCACCUUGAUCCCUCUCCAGCAGGAUCUGGAGUCACUUCCAUGGGCCUGGCAUACACCACUCCAGAUUUGCCCUCUGGCCUGGGGAGCAGAUAACCCCCCGCCCCACAUAACCAGCUGCGCUCCUACACCUAGCAGGCCGGCUCACAUCACCCUUUAACGCACACUAUAUUCACACACACACUUGUGCACAGUCUUGAAUGUGUGCCCACACAUCUGCCUGCACACACUCAUGUGCCCACAUGUGAAUCACUUGGAAGUGUACACAAAACCAAACCCACAGCACAGAUGGGCAGACAGGUGAGCCUCGUGCAGCAUGUGACACUCCCACAUGCACAAGACAUGUGUGCAGAGGCAUAUCACACACGCAGAAGCACUCCCGAGAACUGCCUUCUCCCUUUCAGCCUAGGGGCCCCUGUUCCCCCACAACCGGGCCCAGCCCUGGAGCCCCCUCCAGCACUCCUCUCCCACCCCCACGCUCCCCAAGAGCAGCAGAUGUAGGUCUCCCGGCUCCCAAACCUCUGAGAUGCUGCUCUGUCUGAAAUCAUCAUAUAAAUAAUCAUUUUUUAAUACAAGGGGGUGGGGGUGUCAGGCAAGUUCCAUGAAAUUGUGAAUUAGCCGCUGCUCCAAAUAAAUGCCUGCUUCGGCCCGAGAGCAGCCGCGCUGCGCCCGCUGCGCCCCCAAUAAUCGUGUGUUGGGUAUCUCUCCAUUGUUCCCUGGGCCAUUAGUCAAAGGGCAAAUUAGAAACAAUUUCUUGACGACAAAAAUUGACUCUUAAUUCUUCCCACCAGAGGCGCAGGGGGACAAGUCCAGAGGCCAGGCCUGAGGCUGGGGCUGGCGGCAGGAGGGGUAGGCGGGGUAGAGGUGGGGUAGAGGUGGGGGAUCUAAGAUGGUUCACAGCACAGAGACCUCCCUCAACUGGAGGGCAGCAGCAGCUCACCCCCACCCCAGAAUCAGUGUUCCAGAGGACAGCUGGGGGCAGGGGGUUAGGAACAAUCCCACUCCCUCCUGGAAGAGGUCCUGACCCCCCACCCCACCCAUCUGCCUGUACGGGUCCCUCUGCUAUCGACUGGGGCGAGUUCUUUUCAUGAGGGCCUUGCCUGGUGCCUGGAGGGAACAGGGUGUGGGGGAAAGGUCUGUGUGUUCCCCCCUCACCUCCCCUGCUCAGCGGUGUGGCCUCUGGCUCUGGGGAGGAUCGGGAAGCCCCAGGGUCCGUGCCUUGGAGUGGGGGGACAGCCUUUUCUCUGCCACAGCUUCUGCCUUUGGAGGCUUACCCUUCCUAGGAGCAGAACUGUUGUGGAGGGGAAGAGGACGGCGAAGGUUCCGAAGGGAAGGGGGCUGCCCCCACUGAAAACGAAGCUUCCAGUCACAGCCCCUUCAUUAUUUAUCAGGACCCAGGGGAUGAGGUGGCAGGGGAGGGGGCUGCAUGGAGGGAGUGCCCUCACCCUCGUCCCCAGCGCCUGCCCCCUCCCGACCAGGCCUGGGCUGAGGCCCAGGGUAAGGGGGCUGAGGCAGGCCACAGAGGAGCAAGACUUGUCAGGGGCCAGACCUGGGUAGGAGGAUUGUCCUCCAGGCACACACGGCCCCCAGCCCCCCAGCCUGUCGAACUGGGCUCUCCCAGAAGGUCCCCGGCUCCAGCCCAAGCAGGGAGCCAGGUUGGGGGUGUGGGAAGGCAGAAGUCCCAGGGAUCCUGGGGGAGGCUCAGGUUGUACCUGAAGGCCACAGUCUCCUCGACAGACCUCGGACGAGGUUGUAAGUGUUUUAAAGAAACUAGAGCAGCAGAGAAGAGAGACUCAGAAGCCCGUGGCACGGCUUUCUCGGCGUCCCCUCCAGCGAGGGGGUCUCCAUUGCUGCAGUUGCCGGUUUUGUCCAACCAGGUCAGGAGGCUGCCCGGCCCCCUCCCCACUCUCAAAGUUGCUUGUUAAACACAGAGUCGUAAUUUGUGGCUAAAUAUAACUAGUGUGUUCUCACGGAAAGUAUAAUUCAGGGUGCUCAUUGUAUGAGGUUAUCAACAAGACCCAUCUGGGUUAAAUUAAAGUGAUUUUCAUAAAGGGCAGAAGCGCCCCUUUGCCUGGUUUCCCCUGCCUUUUUAUUAGUGACAGUGUUAUUGUUGCAAUUAUUAGAGGGGAUCAAGGAAGGUGGGAGUUGCCAGGGACCCCCAGGCUGAGGAGGGAGCCUCCCAGCCCCCCUCCACUCACCAUUGUCCUGCUGCCCCUCCAGCCCCCUGGUCACUGUCACCUCUGCGGCUGGAGGGCUGGAGAAAGGCCCAGGAGCCCAGGGAACCUCCACCAUGCCAGGCUGCCUUCCCUAAAGGCCGGCUCCUUCCCCCCAGGCAGCCAGUCUGGGGGUGGACCUGGAGGGGCAGGGUUCUCUGGGAAUCUCUGGGCCAAGGGAUGCGCUUUGGGGAUCUGCUGGAAUAAAGAGUAAUCGGUUUUCCUUACAGGAGGUUGACCCGAAACAGCCCUCCGUCUUCCUGCCCAUGAGGAUGAGGACAGGAAGCCAGACCCGGGAGAGAAAGCCCAGAUCAGACAGAUGGGGGUUGGGAGGGCCUAGUGGCUGAAACUGCCCUGCUUGGGGACAAUGCUCAGGCAGGACCAAUCCAAACGAGGGCACUGCUUAUGUGGUCCUUCCGGAGCAUCCUCCAAGGCAGAGCCUGGCUUCGGGCCCUCCCUGCAAGGACACCUGCCUCCACUCCCUGCCAGACCAGGCCUGGCUGCAGAGGCGGAGGGGCGGCAGGGCUGCCUGUCUCCACUGUUUGGCGGUGUUUACACGUGUCGCUGUCAGGGUGUCUGGACAGUGGGGGUCGGGGGCCUCCCGGGCCCAGACUUCCCCAGGCCUAUUCUCACACUGGUGAGAGGGCCCUAGGGGAAGGGUGUGGGCUGGGUGGCGGGGCCAGGCCAGCUGAGACCUACAGGACCGUGGAGCAUUUAGGUCUCCCACCCAACUCCACCCGGUCCUCUGAGCAUCAGUUACAGAGCCCAGGCAGCAGGAGGGCAGGGCCCAGCCCCUUAUCACCCAUCCUCAAGGCAGGCAGGAACCCUGAAGGCAGCUUCCACCAGGGGUUCCCUUAGCCCCCACCCUCCAAAAGCCCCAGACCCUGCCAGGCCUCACCCUGCCAGCAUCGUGGCCCCAGCUGACGGCUCCCAAGGGCAGGUGCUGGCAACACAAGCAGGAGCCCUCGGGGCAUCCCGCAGGGCACACACCAGGUCGCCCUGGGCUCCCCAAGCACCUCCCAGACCCAGCCCUUGGGUGGGUCCUGGCCCACAAACCCCCACGCCCUGCCCCUGAGAUGAGCCCCACCGCCCACCUGCCCUCCAGCCCUGGAGACCUUUCUCCCCCUUGGCCAUGGCUCCCAUGGGGAGGCUGCAGGCCCUCCCUGGGCUGGACCAGAGGGGACAGACUGUCUCUCCCCUGCGACUUCUGGGGGCACUGGAGUCCUUGGCCUGGUUACCUUCAGCAUUUAUAGCCCUCCAGUGAGUUAUUCCUCGGAGUUCUCACAGAGCAGCAUGCGCCUGCGGCAAAGCCCUCACCUCCAGCCCCUGGACCACCUGACUGCUGCCUCCCGCCUGGCGCCAAACACGGCCACCGCCUCUUUUGUUAACAGGACAGUUGAUCCAUUAAAUUAAAAAUCAUUCAAUAGAUUCAUUUUUUUUUUCUGGCCUGAACAAAUACGUAUUCCAUCUCAAUUCAUGAAGCAUCAGUACCCGCUGCAGGGGUAAUUCCCCAGGCGGGAGAGGAGUUUCGGGGAAAGUGCCCCCAAAGGGAGACUCCCCAGAAAUCCCUUUCCAAGCAGCCAAGGCAGGCAGGCCAGAGGAGCCUGCCCCGGGCCAGGGCCCAGACCCACGCAGCCGCCCGCUCUCCCGGCCACUUCCGCCGGGGCCUUUCCGAGCGAAGUCCAUUAGGGCCGGGUCUCUGCGCCUCCCCUACCCGGGGUCCGGGCAAUACGCAGCCCCGACCACCGUCCUCGGCCCGGGGGAAGCGCAGACACACACUGGAGGCAUUUUCUUCCCUCCGGAAUUGAUUGGUUUUUGUUUUUGUUUUAAUAGCAGGACUUUUCCAAGCAAAAAGUCUCCUGAGGCGGGUGGUAAAAAAAUCAAAGCCUCUACAUCCAAGCCCGGAACAAAAGCCCUUUGGAAAUCCCGCGGCGGGGCCGGGCGCGGGCGGAUGCGGCGGGAGGGGCGGCCGAGCGCGCCCGGGACCCGCGUCGGGAGAAGCCGCGCAGCGCCUACCGCGGAGGUCGAGUCUCGGCGGCCCCACCUGCUCCGGAGUCGGCCCUGUCCCUCCGUCUGGGGAGGCGGCCGGAGGCGCCAUCACCGCAAAUUUAUGGCCCGGGUGACGCGCUUCCUACUCCCACAGUGGGGCCCGGUGACAUUAAACAGAAAAUUGACGAGAGCGGAGCGAAACCGAAUCCGUUUCCCUCCAGGCCCGUCCCCCUCGCUUUUCGGGGAGGGGACCAGGGACGGGAGGAAGGGCGUCCCUGAGUUUGUGCGCUCGGGAGCCCGUGCUGGAGGCUUCUCCCAGAUUCCAGAGCCCAGGCAGCGUGCUGGGGGCGCGCGACCCCGCCCGGACCGCACCCCUUCGCCGGCCGCAUUUCGGGCGGAACCUCGGCUCGCGUUCCACGCGCUCGGGGCGACCAGGCAGAGUGGGGCCCCGCACCCGGGUCGCUCCCGCUCGGAGGGCCCAGGCCGGAUGAGGCUCCGACGCGCCCUCGGCCCUCCCUCCGCGCCCCAGCUCCGGGGAGCGCCCCGCUGCCUCCAGCACAGCGGGGGAGGGAGGACCCCGGCUGCCCAGCCCCCACCCUCGCCGCCGCGCCCCGCCCCCGGCCGGCGCAAGUGGGAGAAGAGAGCGAGUGACGAGCGGGGCGCGCCUGGGUGGCUGCCGGGGGUCGCUCCUCUGGCCUCGAGCGCCCCCUCCCUCCGCCCCCCGGCGCCUCCUGGCACCGAACCCGCCG
Molecule: long non-coding RNA, 7060 nt
Filed under: Homo sapiens (human)
Lineage: Eukaryota; Metazoa; Chordata; Mammalia; Primates; Hominidae
Description: non-protein coding lnc-TMEM105-2:21
Source: RNAcentral